This is an RNA transcript of Pteropus alecto (black flying fox), 1205 nucleotides long. It is a transcript of the gene named XPA, DNA damage recognition and repair factor, with no coding region annotated. The record is from RefSeq and is a predicted model, not a curated record. The transcript has 7 exons. NCBI's taxonomy places the organism in Eukaryota, Metazoa, Chordata, Mammalia, Chiroptera, Pteropodidae.
GCUGUGGGAACGCUUCGCCGCGCCAAUGCGCGUGCGCUGGGGCAGGGCCACGGUUCUCCGAGUUGGAGAUGGCAGCGGCCGAGGUAACUUCGCCGGAGCCGGCGGCUUCAGAACAGUCGGCGGAGCUGCCAGCCUCUUUGCGGGCGAGCAUCGAGCGGAAGCGGCAGCGGGCGUUGAUGCUGCGCCAGGCCCGGCUGGCCGCCCGGCCCUACGCGGCGACGGCGGUUGCGGCUACCGGAGGCAUGGCUAAUGUAAAAGCAGCCCCAAAGAUAAUUGACACAAGAGGAGGCUUCAUUCUGGAAGAGGAAGAAGAAGAAAAACAUACAAUUGGGAAUGUUGUUCAUCAACCAGGACCUGUUAUGGAAUUUGAUUAUGCAAUAUGCGAAGAAUGUAGUAGAGAAUUUAUGGAUUCUUAUCUUAUGAACCACUUUGAUUUGGCAACUUGUGAUAACUGCAGAGAUGCUGAUGAUAAACACAAGCUUAUAACUAAAACAGAAGCAAAACAAGAAUACCUUCUGAAAGACUGUGAUUUAGAAAAAAGAGAACCAGCUCUUAAAUUUAUUGUGAAGAAGAAUCCUCAUCAUUCUCAGUGGGGUGAUAUGAAACUCUACUUAAAAUUACAGAUUGAGAAGAGGGCUCUCGAAGUUUGGGGAAGUCAGGAAGCAUUAGAAGAAGCCAAGGAAGUUCGACAGAAAAACCGAGAAAAAAUGAAACAGAAGAAGUUUGAUAAAAAAGUAAAAGAGGUUGGUGGAUAUGCUCCUGUCCUCCUGACUAGGCCACAAGGGGCUGAGAGUGGAGUAGACACUGUAGAGAUUAGAAACAAGGAGCUUGCUAUGCAGUUUGCUCAGAAGGCUCAGGACAGAGAGGAAUAGAAGGAAAUCAAAAAGUUUUUUAGUUGAAAAGAACUUGGAACCUGGUUCCUCUUGGUCUUCUGAUUUUGAUCCACAAAGAAGCUGACACAAAAUUUACUUCUUUAUGGAAAGAAUUACGGCGAGCAGUAAGAAGCAGUGUUUGGAAAAGGGAAACAGCUGCUCACCAGCAUGAGUAUGGACCAGAAGAAAGCCUAGAAGAUGACAUGUACCGGAAGACUUGUACUGUGUGUGGCCAUGAAUUGACAUAUGAGAAAAUGUGAUUUUUAGUUAAGCGAUGUUUGACAGUUUUAUAUUUAGAUAAAGGAAAUUUAUAUCGGUCUUGUUUAAAAUUCA